Molecule: ribosomal RNA, 227 nt
Filed under: uncultured bacterium
Lineage: Bacteria
Description: partial 16S ribosomal RNA
Rfam family: Bacterial small subunit ribosomal RNA
Source: RNAcentral
AACGUGGGUAACCUGCCCAUCAGAGGGGGAUAACAUCCGGAAACGGAUGCUAAAACCGCAUAGGUCUUCGAACCGCAUGGUUUGAAGAGGAAAAGAGGCGCAAGCUUCUGCUGAUGGAUGGACCCGCGGUGCAUUAGCUAGUUGGUGAGGUAACGGCUCACCAAGGCCGUGAUGCAUUGCCGACCUGAGAGGGUGAUCGGCCACAUUGGGACUGAGACACGGCCCAA